GAGGAAAGUCCGGGCUCUACAGAGCAAAGUGGUGGAUAACUUCCACCCGGGGCGACCCGCGGGAAUAGUGCAACAGAGAGUAAACCGCCAAAAGAAAUUUUGGUAAGGAGUGAAACGGUGGUGUAAGAGACCACCAGCAUUGCAAGUGAUUGCAGUGGCUAUGCAAACCCCACUUUUGAGCAAGAUCAAGAAGUUGCAAGCAAUUGCAAUGGAGUGAAUGUUUGAGAACUGCUCGUUCGAGUUCACAGGUAGAUCGCAUGACAUAUGUAGCAAUGCAUAUGCAAGAUGGAUGAUUGUCCCUCAGCAAUGAGGACAGAACCCGGCUUA
Molecule: RNase P RNA, 327 nt
Filed under: unidentified eubacterium clone ESH210B
Lineage: Bacteria
Description: partial ribonuclease P RNA
Rfam family: Bacterial RNase P class A
About the family: Ribonuclease P (RNase P) is a ubiquitous endoribonuclease, found in archaea, bacteria and eukarya as well as chloroplasts and mitochondria. Its best characterised activity is the generation of mature 5'-ends of tRNAs by cleaving the 5'-leader elements of precursor-tRNAs.
Source: RNAcentral